GGGCUCGUGGCUCAGCUAGGUAGAGCAGCAGGCUCUUAACCUGUCGGUCGUGGGUUCGAAUCCCACCGAGCCCG
This 74-nucleotide transfer RNA is filed under the name Thermoplasmata archaeon. Its description in RNAcentral is "tRNA-Lys". It matches the Rfam family "tRNA". From Rfam's summary of the family: Transfer RNA (tRNA) molecules are approximately 80 nucleotides in length. Their secondary structure includes four short double-helical elements and three loops (D, anti-codon, and T loops). Lineage: Archaea; Methanobacteriati; Thermoplasmatota; Thermoplasmata. The record is from RNAcentral. RNAcentral also lists the same sequence under 1 other name.